GCCGAAGUGGUGGAAUUGGUAGACACGCUAGGUUCAGGGUCUAGUCGGGGUUCCCCGGUGGAGGUUCGAGUCCUCUCUUCGGCACCA
RNAcentral lists this transfer RNA (87 nucleotides) under Desulfomicrobium sp. RNAcentral describes it as "tRNA-Leu". It matches the Rfam family "tRNA". Rfam says of the family: Transfer RNA (tRNA) molecules are approximately 80 nucleotides in length. Their secondary structure includes four short double-helical elements and three loops (D, anti-codon, and T loops). Further hydrogen bonds mediate the characteristic L-shaped molecular structure. tRNAs have two regions of fundamental functional importance: the anti-codon, which is responsible for specific mRNA codon recognition, and the 3' end, to which the tRNAs corresponding amino acid is attached (by aminoacyl-tRNA synthetases). tRNAs cope with the degeneracy of the genetic code in two manners: having more than one tRNA (with a specific anti-codon) for a particular amino acid; and 'wobble' base-pairing, i.e. permitting non-standard base-pairing at the 3rd anti-codon position. The record is from RNAcentral. RNAcentral also lists the same sequence under 17 other names. Lineage: Bacteria; Pseudomonadati; Thermodesulfobacteriota; Desulfovibrionia; Desulfovibrionales; Desulfomicrobiaceae.